This 244-nucleotide ribosomal RNA is filed under the name uncultured bacterium. Its description in RNAcentral is "partial 16S ribosomal RNA". It matches the Rfam family "Bacterial small subunit ribosomal RNA", at positions 89 to 334 of the family's 1533-position model. The record is from RNAcentral.
UGGCGACCGGCGCACGGGUGCGUAACGCGUAUGCAACCUACCUUUAACAGGGGGAUAACACUGAGAAAUUGGUACUAAUACCCCAUAAUAUCAUAGAAGGCAUCUUUUAUGGUUGAAAAUUCCGAUGGUUAGAGAUGGGCAUGCGUUGUAUUAGCUAGUUGGUAGGGUAACGGCCCACCAAGGCGACGAUACAUAGGGGGACUGAGAGGUUAACCCCCCACACUGGUACUGAGACACGGACCAG